GGGGAAUAUUGCACAAUGGGGGAAACCCUGAUGCAGCGACGCCGCGUGGAGGAAGAAGGUCUUCGGAUUGUAAACUCCUGUUGUUGGGGAAGAUAAUGACGGUACCCAACAAGGAAGUGACGGCUAACUACGUGCCAGCAGUCGCGGUAAAACGUAGGUCACAAGCGUUGUCCGGAAUUACUGGGUGUAAAGGGAGCGCAGGCGGGAAGACAAGUUGGAAGUGAAAUCUAUGGGCUCAACCCAUAAACUGCUUUCAAAACUGUUUUUCUUGAGUAGUGCAGAGGUAGGCGGAAUUCCCGGUGUAGCGGUGGAAUGCGUAGAUAUCGGGAGGAACACCAGUGGCGAAGGCGGCCUACUGGGCACCAACUGACGCUGAGGCUCGAAAGUGUGGGUAGCAAACAGGAUUAGAUACCCUGGUAGUCCACACCGUAAACGAUGAUUACUAGGUGUUGGAGGAUUGACCCCUUCAGUGCCGCAGUUAACACAAUAAGUAAUCCACCUGGGGAGUACGACCGCAAGGUUGAAACUCAAAGGAAUUGACGGGGGCCCGCACAAGCAGUGGAGUAUGUGGUUUAAUUCGACGCAACGCGAAGAACCUUACCAAGUCUUGACAUCCCUUGACAGGCAUAGAAAUAUGUUUUCUCUUCGGAGCAAGGAGACAGGUGGUGCAUGGUUGUCGUCAGCUCGUGUCGUGAGAUGUUGGGUUAAGUCCCGCAACGAGCGCAACCCUUAUGGUCAGUUACUACGCAAGAGGACUCUGGCCAGACUGCCGUUGACAAAACGGAGGAAGGUGGGGAUGACGUCAAAUCAUCAUGCCCUUUAUGACUUGGGCUACACACGUACUACAAUGGCGUUAAACAAAGAGAAGCAAGACCGCGAGGUGGAGCAAAACUCAGAAACAACGUCCCAGUUCGGACUGCAGGCUGCAACUCGCCUGCACGAAGUCGGAAUUGCUAGUAAUCGUGGAUCAGCAUGCCACGGUGAAUACGUUCCCG
RNAcentral lists this ribosomal RNA (995 nucleotides) under uncultured organism. Its description in RNAcentral is "bacterial SSU rRNA". It matches the Rfam family "Bacterial small subunit ribosomal RNA", at positions 356 to 1376 of the family's 1533-position model. The record is from RNAcentral.